Molecule: ribosomal RNA, 496 nt
Filed under: uncultured bacterium
Lineage: Bacteria
Description: partial 16S ribosomal RNA
Rfam family: Bacterial small subunit ribosomal RNA
Source: RNAcentral
AUGAACGCUGGCGGCGUGCCUAAUACAUGCAAGUCGAGCGAACAGAUGAGGAGCUUGCUCCUCUGACGUUAGCGGCGGACGGGUGAGUAACACGUGGAUAACCUACCUAUAAGACUGGGAUAACUUCGGGAAACCGGAGCUAAUACCGGAUAAUAUAUUGAACCGCAUGGUUCAAUAGUGAAAGACGGUUUUGCUGUCACUUAUAGAUGGAUCCGCGCCGCAUUAGCUAGUUGGUAAGGUAACGGCUUACCAAGGCGACGAUGCGUAGCCGACCUGAGAGGGUGAUCGGCCACACUGGAACUGAGACACGGUCCAGACUCCUACGGGAGGCAGCAGUAGGGAAUCUUCCGCAAUGGGCGAAAGCCUGACGGAGCAACGCCGCGUGAGUGAUGAAGGUCUUCGGAUCGUAAAACUCUGUUAUUAGGGAAGAACAAAUGUGUAAGUAACUAUGCACGUCUUGACGGUACCUAAUCAGAAAGCCACGGCUAACUACGUA